This 253-nucleotide ribosomal RNA is filed under the name uncultured bacterium. Its description in RNAcentral is "partial 16S ribosomal RNA". It matches the Rfam family "Bacterial small subunit ribosomal RNA", at positions 524 to 776 of the family's 1533-position model. The record is from RNAcentral.
GACAGAGGGUGCAAACGUUGUUCGGAAUCACUGGGCGUAAAGGGCGCGUAGGUGGCUGGGUAAGUGUGCGGUGAAAGUCCGGGGCUCAACCCCGGAUCGGCCGUGCAGACUGCUUGGCUUGAGCAUAGUAGAGGCAGGUGGAAUUCCGGGUGUAGCGGUGGAAUGCGUAGAGAUCCGGAAGAACACCGGUGGCGAAGGCGGCCUGCUGGGCUAUUGCUGACACUGAGGCGCGACAGCGUGGGGAGCAAACAGG